AUUUUUAAGUGAAUUCAUAUAAAAUAUAAUAUUUUCUUUUGAUUUGUAAAAGUAAAAAUGAUGAAGAGAUGUGAGAGGUGUAAUUGUGUACAAAAAUGAGUUGAUUUGUAGUGCUAUUAAAAUGGAGUAAUAAGUAAACUCAUGAAAAAGGCAGCACGAUUCAAAAUACGUAAAAAAAAAAUGUAUUAACUUUAUAUAUAAUAUAGUUUUUCGAUGAAGGAGUUCAGUGCACCCUAGCUCUAUUACAAUACUUGCUACAAUAGACUAUAAAUAUGAUAUGAUGGUAAAAAUUUCUUACACUGGCAUUGUAUAUAACUUAAAGGUAUAUACAACAACUUGCAUUUAAAGUUGGCCUCAGCUUCAACUUUCACAAACUCGUCUUUACUUUGUUAGUUGAACACUCUAACUUAUAAGAUGAUCAUCUUAACAUGCACCUACAAAUUUUAUGUGUCACGUUAGUAUAGGGUGUUUAUGAGACACAAUUAGAAUGAGUGAGAAUGUUUAAUUUAGUUUCCCGUUGAGACCAAAUAUGUCUAAAUAUACAUUCUUGAUCUCAACUAGAGAUGUCUAAAUAUAUAUUGUCAAAGUUGGAGUGCAUACUUGUUGGCUGAAGCAAACCUUAAAUGCAAGUUCAUGUAUUAUGCCUAACAUAAACUUUAACUUCAUUAGGGAUGAUAUCAUCGUCUCCUCAACAAUAAAAGUAAAUGAGAAAAAUCCUUACAACUAACUUUAACCUCAUCAAACUCCCAUAUCUGUUCUAUUUAUAUAGCACUACCAAUCAACUCAUUUUUGUACACAGCUACACCUCUCACAUUUCUUCUAUCUUUUUUCCUUUUACAAAUUAAAAAAAAAAAUGAAAGAUCAAUUUCGUGAAUUAACCUUUAAGGAAUUUCUUGAAGAGAUAACAAGGCAAGAACAAAGUUUUUUUCAGAAAAAAAGAGCUGAAAUGCUUAAAGAAAAUCCUGAGUUAUCAAUAAAAGACCUUUUUCCUCCAAUGCCAAACAAAACUACUAGUAAAAAUAAUGCUUAUAAUGCAUCUACUCCAGAAACUGAAUUUGAGCAAGCAAAUUAAUGUCAGUGAAAAGAUGCCAACUGGUGAUAUUGUUGUGAAUGAGAUGCAAAAAGGUAAAGGACAAAAAGAAGCAAAAGCUUAGAAGGAAGAUGGUAGCUAAAAGUUGAGAAUCAAGUGUUAAAUGAAAUGGAAUUGUAAAUAAAUAAAUGAAGUAAAAAAAAACUAGCCUCAGUCAGUGACUUUGCUUUAAGAAAAUUAAGUCAAAAUUACAGAAAAAUGGAAUUAAUGUGAUGCAUGUCUGUAUCUAUGUCUGCAUUAAGUUAAAUAAACAUCAUCUGAUGAUGUCUUGUUUAGUAA
Molecule: long non-coding RNA, 1369 nt
Organism: Capsicum annuum
Lineage: Eukaryota; Viridiplantae; Streptophyta; Magnoliopsida; Solanales; Solanaceae
Exons: 2
Source: RefSeq, a predicted model, not a curated record